This is a long non-coding RNA of Poecilia reticulata (guppy), 315 nucleotides long. RefSeq lists it as uncharacterized. NCBI's taxonomy places the organism in Eukaryota, Metazoa, Chordata, Actinopteri, Cyprinodontiformes, Poeciliidae. The record is from RefSeq and is a predicted model, not a curated record.
AUGCUUUGAAGAAUCCUGGAAAUUGAUCUCCAAAAGCUUCUGUUCUAAAAGCUGACGUCCGGAAAAAAUCCCUGGUAGUUGUGUAGCAUUGAAGCAUCGGUCAGGUUUUUUUUCUUAUGGUGCACUUUUGAAACAUUGUGCCAGAGACAUCAAGAUCACCCUUACAAGAACUUGGAUGGCGAGCCCCAGCCCAGAGGACCAAGUGAACUGGUACACGGUGACCCGACUGGUCACCAGCCGUGAAACAUAAAUAAAUAUUUCACAGACACAUUGGAAAGACUAAACAAACUUUGAAAGAACAUUUGACAGACACAU